CCUACGGGUGGCAGCAGUGAGGAAUAUUGGUCAAUGGGCGCGAGCCUGAACCAGCCAAGUAGCGUGAAGGAUGACUGCCCUACGGGUUGUAAACUUCUUUUAUAAAGGAAUAAAGUGAGGCACGUGUGCCUUUUUGUAUGUACUUUAUGAAUAAGGCACGGCUAAAUCCGUGCCAGCAGCCGCGGUAAUACGGAGGAUCCGAGCGUUAUGCGGAUUUAUUGGGGUUAAAGGGAGCGUAGGUGGGUUGUUAAGUCAGUUGUGAAAGUUGGCGGUUCAACCGUAAAAUUGCAGUUGAUACUGGCAUUCGUGAGUACAGGUGAGGUAGGCGGAAUGCGUGGUGUAGCGGUGAAAUGCUGAGAUAUCACGCAGAACUCCGAUUGCGAAGGCAGCUUACUAACCUGCAACUGACAUUGAUGCUCGAAAGCGUGGGUAUCAAACAGGAUUAGAUACCCCUGUAGUC
Molecule: ribosomal RNA, 460 nt
Filed under: uncultured bacterium
Lineage: Bacteria
Description: partial 16S ribosomal RNA
Rfam family: Bacterial small subunit ribosomal RNA
Source: RNAcentral